RNAcentral lists this long non-coding RNA (205 nucleotides) under Elaeis guineensis (African oil palm). RNAcentral's name for it is "long non-coding RNA (EGUI_LNC037417)". Lineage: Eukaryota; Viridiplantae; Streptophyta; Magnoliopsida; Arecales; Arecaceae. The record is from RNAcentral.
ACACGAUAGGCAUAUGGUUAAUAACCCAAGUGGCUGGCCCAAGCUAGUCCGGCCUAAAACAAAAUGGGCCUUUGCACCUACAGUAUCUAAAUAGGAGCCAUCGCUUGAACCGCUGAUAUAGACAUUGGGUGAGCUUCAUUCAACAAUUCAACUUUGUCAUCAAGCAUAAGUCAGGACCAUAUGAACAAGAUGCAAAUUUCAGCAA